UCCUCGUACCUUUUGCAUCAUGAUUUAGCCAGCACAUUCAAGCAAAGAGAACUUUAGUUUGAAACCCCGAAACUGCGUGAGCUACUCCAAGACAGCCUAUCUAUAGGGCAAACCCGUCUCUGUGGCAAAAGAGUGGGAAGAACUUCGAGUAGGGGUGACAGACCUAUCGAACACAGUUAUAGCUGGUUGCCUGAGAAUUGGAUAGAAGUUCAGCCCUACAGCUUCUCUUUAAACUAUAGGAGUUAGUCAAAGGGGGUACAGCCCCUUUGAAUAAAGACACAACUUUUCCAGGAGGAUAAAGAUCAUAAUUUUUAAGGCGAAACGUUUUGGUGGGCCUAAAAGCAGCCAUCCUAACAGAAAGCGUUAAAGCUCAAACGUACUAUCCUGAUAUCUUAAUCUUAAUCCCCUAACAUUACCAGGCCUCCCCAUGCACGCAUGGGGGCGACCCUGCUAGAAUGAGUAAUAAGAGAGCCCUCUCUCCCAGCACAUGUGUAAAUCGGAGCGGAUCCCCCACCGACCACUAACGGCCCCUAACGACCACGAAACUGGAGGAAUCCUCGAAAACCGUCCACCGUUAACCGUGCCCCGGUGUGACCCCCGGAAAAGACUAAAAGAAAGAGAAGGAACUCGGCAAACAAGCUUCGCCUGUUUACCAAAAACAUCGCCUCUUGCAAGAAUAAGAGGUCCCGCCUGCCCAGUGACAAUAUGGUUCAACGGCCGCGGUAUUUUGACCGUGCAAAGGUAGCGUAAUCACUUGUCUUUUAAAUGAAGACCUGUAUGAAUGGCAUAACGAGGGCUUAACUGUCUCCUCUUUCCAGUCAAUGAAAUUGAUCUCCCCGUGCAGAAGCGGGGAUAAGCACAUAAGACGAGAAGACCCUAUGGAGCUUUAGACACUAAGACAGACCAUGUUAAACAACCCACGCAUAACGACCCGAACUUAAUGGCCACCUGUCCUAAUGUCUUCGGUUGGGGCGACCAUGGGGUAGCACAAAACCCCCAUGCGGAACAGGAGGACUCCCACAAGCGAGAGCCACAACUCUAACUAACAGAAUAUCUGACCUUACAUGAUCCGGCCUCGGCCGAUCAACGGACCAAGUUACCCUAGGGAUAACAGCGCAAUCCCCUUCUAGAGCCCAUAUCGACAAGGGGGUUUACGACCUCGAUGUUGGAUCAGGACAUCCUAUGGUGCAG
This 1191-nucleotide ribosomal RNA is filed under the name Ferdauia ferdau (blue trevally). RNAcentral describes it as "partial 16S ribosomal RNA". It matches the Rfam family "Bacterial large subunit ribosomal RNA", at positions 596 to 2558 of the family's 2925-position model. Lineage: Eukaryota; Metazoa; Chordata; Actinopteri; Carangiformes; Carangidae. The record is from RNAcentral.